GACACACCUUCCCAUUUUACAUUGAAUUCAUUCAAUGGGUUUUCUUUAUUUUCACGACUAUUUACAUUGUAGGUUGUCACUGAAGGCAUCAAAUCUAUGAAUGAACACAUGUAGAGUUAUGUACUUAACAAAAAUAGGUGAAGUAAUUGAAAAUAUGUCUUAUAUUCUACUUUCUUUAAAAUAGCCACCCUUUGCUCUGAUUUCUGUUUUGCACUCUUGUCAUACUCUCGAUUAGUUUCAAGAGGUAGUCAACUGAAUGGGUUUUCACUUCACAGUAAAUAGGCAUGAAAAUAAAGAAAACAUAUUGAAAUGAGAAGGUAUGUCCAAACUUUUGGCCUGUACUGUGUGUGCGUGUGUUUGCGUGUGUGUGUAUUGUGGUCUCAACAAGAUAUUGAAUAAAAUGACGUUAAUAGCUGUCAAUCAAAGAUGUUCGUCAUGCAUGCACCAACACAAAAGCGAUGUUCAAGAACAAAUGAAAUUAAAAGACGAUGCUUUGGUUGUUAAAUUCGUCUUGAAUCGUCAUAUGUUUUUCCACGCCGUUUUGUUGCAUCUGUGUGUAUUAGUUGGGGCAAAGCUUCCAUGGUUGGACCAGGAAAAACUGUGCCCUCUAGGCAGCCAAGUGGAAAUUUCACCACCAAGUCUUGUUAAAGUCAAAAUAUGCAAUCAAGUAAGAAUUUAAUUAGCAGGCUUAUUAAAGAACAGUUUUAAUAAGUUAUUGUACUUUAAUUACACAAAACAUCGCAAAAGCAUAAUAAAGUCAAACUCUCACUUCCAAAGAUGGCAUAAAGCAACAACCAAAAAUAAAAUACAUGGAGAAAACUCAAAUAAUUGAUAAGUAAAAAAACUUGUCCUCUAACAUUUACAUGCACACAUUAAAACACAUUAUUAUAGAAAUUAUUCUGUACUGGUUGCAUGAUUUCAGUAGUAUUAUAAAAGAAGAAUUGCAAAGUAGGUACCAUCACAAUGUUGCAUUUUUCCUUGAGGAGGAAAUGCUGGAGAGGAGUGUGUAUAUUCUCUGCUGUGGACACAUUACACUGAUGCUUUUGACUGUCUGCUUUGUCCUGACACACAAUCCUGCAGCCUCCAAAGAGGCUCAGUGUUAAUUAAAAAGCCUUCCUGGCUUGGCUGCAGUUUUGGACCAAGUGAAGAGCAUUGACGGUGAGAGGAGUUAAGAUGGAGGAGGGGUGUUGGUCUUUUGAAAGCAGAGACAUGACAGCUGAGGGGGAAGCAUGUGUGAGGCAUGUUUGUUUUGCAUUUAGCCCCUGAGCUCAGCUGUGUGUGCUGUCCUUUUCCCAGAACACAACAAGAGUGAAAGGGGCCCCAUGUCCACAUGCCCAUCAUCUCACUUUUGAUAUAUAGAGUAUAUGCUCCAUAUUAUAAUGCCUUGGAUUCGGACCAGGGAGUAAAACUGAAUGUAAUUUGGUUGAGUCCAGCGUGAUGUGUUCCGCUGACAGAUUAUAGAACGCACUGCACUUCACUCACCUGCUGAGAGAAACUGUCAAUGUGGUUCCAAUUUAGGGGAUUAUCAACGGUUACUGUGCCCAAAGCUUUUCUACAAGACUUCAUCCUCUGGGAGAAAACAUUGACAAGCAUGGUGGUUGGCUGCCACUCGUUAUGCCAAGACACACUUUCUAAUCAGUGAUCAAUCGGUAACUUUGACUGCAAAAUGAGUCCGAUUUUUAUGUGUUAAGAUUUUCGCACUGUUUUGACCCCAUAGGCUUUGGUUUGAAAGAAGUAAGACAACUUCUGUGUGGUUUGCUUGGGUUCUAAACUCAGUUGGGAUAGACUCCAGCUCACCCUUUACCUUGAACAGGACCAGAAGGUAAAUAUCCCACACUCGUGUGCUUUUAUUUUGAAGGCUUGGCUUCACAAGCAACAGGAUGUGUUAAGCUGAUUUUUUCCGAGUGCUUCUUCAGGGUUAUUUUCCCCAUGAAAAUUAAAAGUCGGGAACGGAAGAGCGACGUUAAUAAAAAAAAAAAAAAAAGGCAUAAUUUUCCCCGCAAA
Molecule: long non-coding RNA, 2004 nt
Organism: Nerophis ophidion (straightnose pipefish)
Lineage: Eukaryota; Metazoa; Chordata; Actinopteri; Syngnathiformes; Syngnathidae
Exons: 2
Source: RefSeq, a predicted model, not a curated record